RNAcentral lists this long non-coding RNA (1072 nucleotides) under Aquila chrysaetos chrysaetos. RNAcentral describes it as "lncRNA (ENSACCG00020004924.1)". Lineage: Eukaryota; Metazoa; Chordata; Aves; Accipitriformes; Accipitridae. The record is from RNAcentral.
GUCAGAAGGAGCACAGAGCCUUUUCCACAGGCAUGUGAACGCUGACAGCUUCGGGGGCAGUCUGGUGGGAAAUAAUUAGCACACUGGAAAUGUAUUCCUCAUUAAAAUGAGGGAAGAUCCACCGCUGGGGCUGGAGCAACCAUGUGGCUUCAGGCAGCUUAGGUGGGGGCACUGCCCUGAACCCCUGGCUGGGUUUGCCGGGGUGGGGGGGAUCCCGCACAGCAGCCCCCGCACCAGCAGCGGUGUGAAAGCCAUGGAGCAACCAAAGGGACUGAAAAGCAUCUGCACCCCCAGGAUCCAGGUGCUGCUCGCAGAGAAAGGAAAUCCAGAGCCCAGCAGCAUCCAGCCCGGCUCGGCCAGCAAAACAUCAUGUUUAAUGCACAAUACUGCAACAACGGAGCUGAAACAGCCAUAGGCACAAUAACGGAUUUCUCCGAGCAUCCCCAGUGAGCCCCCGCCCCCAAACACCCCAUCACUCCAGCUCCCCGCACCAGUGUUUCUAGGACAGCGGCUCUCCAGCUACUUUAUCCCCUCGGACCAAGGCGGCCCCGACAACAAACAAUCCUGAGAAGCAGCAUCACCGCCGGCACCGGCUCAGCAUCCCCCAGCCCAUCGGUCCCCUGUGCGGGGGGAGCCCCCGGCGGGGCACCGCAUCCCCGGCGUGGGCAGCCAAACCCCACGCACACCCCUCCGGAGCAUCGCAACCCCACACGCACCCUUCCUAGAUGUCAGUUCACAGCCAGCAAACUCCAGCGCCGGGAGCAGCGAUUUUUUCCCCCCCGGCCAUCAAGCGCCACUGCCCCAGCGACGUGGAGGGAGGAGGAAAAAAAACCACACAAAUAAAAAAAAUACCUGCUACUUAAGAAUGGAUGCACAUAGUGAGAGUGACAUGCCUUGAGAGGGUGUAUUCCCCAUUUCUGCUCUGCUUGCUCGCUUUCUUUUCUUUCCUUUCUCUCCGCGAGGGGCUCAGGCCCAGCCAACCAUGGGAGACGGAGGCAGGAGUGCGAGCGAGCGGGCGCGCGGGUGCGAGCGCGCGCCGGGGUGUGUGCGCGUGGGAGCGCGCAGCUCGGCG